CUUCAACCACACAUCUCGGUACAUAGCAACAACUUCUAAUUUUUCAAUCUUUUCUUCUUUUAUCCUUGUCUUAUAUUCUACUACCACUUUCUCCAAUUGUUGUUUCAAAUCUUCCAAUUGUCUUUUGGCAUUUCUCUCACUGAUUGCAUAAUCUUUCAACCAUUUUCUCAAUUUCUCAACCUCCUCUCGUGUUUGAUCUCUUUCUUGUCUUCUCAAAUAUAAGUAGUACCUAAUUUUUGUCCAAUUAAUAAUAAUAAUAAUAUAUUUAAAUAUUUUUACAAUCAUUUUCAAAAUUACCAUUAUUUUAUAUUCAGAUUUAAGUAUAUAUUAAAAAUAAAAUAAAAAGGAAAAAGAAAUAAAAUAUUUUUUAAUUGAUCUGCAACUAUUGUUGGGCACACGUUUCCUUCGGUUUCCUUUCAACCCAGCAUCACUCAAAAAAAACAAUUGCUCAGAAACAACUUGCAAAGACCCAUCUUUUAUCGUCUAUAACUUGUGAAGAUCGCUAUUGCAAACAUGUUAUAAACCAGACCCAUACUUUAUCGUUUAUAACUUGGGAAGAUCCCUGUUGCAAACAUGUUAUAAACCGGUUUCUUUGAUUAUUUUUUUAGCUUAAUAAAGGAAUGCAAUACACGUCAGGCUUCUUUUUUUCCCUUAAUGGUACCUUGCUUAAAUUUUAUUACAAAAACAGUGUAAAAUCCAAUGAAUUUUUGUUGAGUAACAAUACAAAAUCCAGAACAGUAUUCGUACAAUGAAUGAAAACAUUAGCCGUUUCUCUUAUAAAUUGAGGCAAACAGAACUUAUAGAGGGAAGGAAAAUUUUCUAAAACAAUCAGAAAACCAGAGAAAGGUAGAAGAUAGAGUUGUUUUUAGAGAAACAGAUCUUACCCAUAGCAAACAGAUCCAUCAAAUCCAUUCAGCAA
RNAcentral lists this long non-coding RNA (919 nucleotides) under Cicer arietinum (chickpea). RNAcentral describes it as "long non-coding RNA (CARI_LNC000678)". The record is from RNAcentral. Lineage: Eukaryota; Viridiplantae; Streptophyta; Magnoliopsida; Fabales; Fabaceae.